RNAcentral lists this ribosomal RNA (250 nucleotides) under uncultured prokaryote. RNAcentral's name for it is "partial 16S ribosomal RNA". It matches the Rfam family "Bacterial small subunit ribosomal RNA", at positions 524 to 773 of the family's 1533-position model. The record is from RNAcentral.
UACGUAGGGGGCAGGCGUUAUCCGGAUUUACUGGGCGUAAAGGGAGCGUAGACGGUUGUGCAAGUCUGAUGUGAAGACCCGGGGCUCAACUCCGGGAUUGCAUUGGAAACUGUAUAACUAGAGUGCAGGAGAGGUAAGUGGAAUUCCAAGUGUAGCGGUGAAAUGCGUAGAUAUUAGGAGGAACACCGGCGGCGAAGGCGGCUUACUGGACUGUAACUGACGUUGAGGCUCGAAGGCGUGGGGAGCAAAC